UACGAAGGGGGCUAGCGUUGCUCGGAAUCACUGGGCGUAAAGCGCACGUAGGCGGCUUCUUAAGUCAGGGGUGAAAUCCUGGAGCUCAACUCCAGAACUGCCUUUGAUACUGAGGAGCUUGAGUCCGGGAGAGGUGAGUGGAACUGCGAGUGUAGAGGUGAAAUUCGUAGAUAUUCGCAAGAACACCAGUGGCGAAGGCGGCUCACUGGCCCGGUACUGACGCUGAGGUGCGAAAGUGUGGGGAUCAAACAGG
This 253-nucleotide ribosomal RNA is filed under the name uncultured bacterium. RNAcentral describes it as "partial 16S ribosomal RNA". It matches the Rfam family "Bacterial small subunit ribosomal RNA", at positions 524 to 776 of the family's 1533-position model. The record is from RNAcentral.